CCCCCAGUAGUGGCGAAUGAAGCGGGAAAAGCUCAAGUUUGAAAUCUGGAGGGUGGCCGUCCAGAGUUGUAAGCUGAAGAGGCGUCGUCGGGAUCCGGCCCGGGCUCAAUUUCCUUGGAACAGGAGGUCAUGGAGGGUGAGAACCCCGUCUGUGGCUUGGAUGCCGUGGUCCCAGUGACGUGCCCUCGAAGAGUCGGGUUGUUUGGGAAUGCAGCUCAAAAUGGGUGGUAAAUUUCAUCUAAAGCUAAAUAUUGGCGAGAGACCGAUAGCAAACAAGUAGAGUGAUCGAAAGAUGAAAAGUACUUUGAAAAGAGAGUGAAACAGUAUGUGAAAUUGUUGAAAGGGAAGCGUUUGGCAUCAGCCCUUGGCGGCCGUCGAACAUCGGGGCUCUGGCCCCGUGCACUCGACGGCCGUUGGGCCAGCGUCGGCUCUGCCCGCCGGAGAAAGGCCCUGGGGAAGUGGCUCCUCCGGGAGCGUUAUAACCCUGGGCGUCAUGCGGCUGGGCGGGGCCGA
RNAcentral lists this ribosomal RNA (513 nucleotides) under uncultured Archaeorhizomycetes. Its description in RNAcentral is "eukaryotic LSU rRNA". It matches the Rfam family "Eukaryotic large subunit ribosomal RNA", at positions 77 to 590 of the family's 3401-position model. Lineage: Eukaryota; Fungi; Ascomycota; Archaeorhizomycetes. The record is from RNAcentral.